UUGGAGGGCAAGUCUGGUGCCAGCAGCCGCGGUAAUUCCAGCUCCAAUAGCGUAUAUUAAAGUUGUUGCAGUUAAAAAGCUCGUAGUUGAAUUUCGGGGUUAGCAGGUUGGUCGUGCCACUGGUAUGAACUGGCCUUGCUGAUUCCUCCCUCUUGAUGAGCCGUAAUGCCAUUAAUUUGGUGUUGCGAGGAAUCAGGUCUGUUACUUUGAAAAAAUUAGAGUGUUUAAAGCAGGCAAGCGCUUGAAUACAUUAGCAUGGAAUAAUGAAAUAGGACGUUUGAUCUUAUUUUGUUGGUUUCUAAGAUUGACGUAAUGAUUAAUAGGGAUAGUUGGGGGCAUUAGUAUUCAAUUGUCAGAGGUGAAAUUCUUGGAUUUAUUGAAGACUAACUACUGCGAAAGCAUUUGCCAAGGAUGUUUUCAUUAAUCAAGAACGAAAGUUAGGGGAUCGAAGACGAUCAGAUACCGUCGUAGUCUUAACCAUAAACUAUGCCGACUAGGGAUCGGAUGAUGUUAAUUUUUUAAUGACUCAUUCGGCGCCUUACGGGAAAC
This 549-nucleotide ribosomal RNA is filed under the name uncultured Glomus. RNAcentral describes it as "SSU rRNA". It matches the Rfam family "Eukaryotic small subunit ribosomal RNA", at positions 548 to 1098 of the family's 1831-position model. The record is from RNAcentral. Lineage: Eukaryota; Fungi; Glomeromycota; Glomeromycetes; Glomerales; Glomeraceae.